This 2853-nucleotide long non-coding RNA is filed under the name Triticum aestivum (bread wheat). RNAcentral's name for it is "long non-coding RNA (TAES_LNC008491)". Lineage: Eukaryota; Viridiplantae; Streptophyta; Magnoliopsida; Poales; Poaceae. The record is from RNAcentral.
AUUUGUAAUGGCUAUCAGCAUUCGAUAAUUUGUUCAGGGUUGUCCUGUUGUCUCUACCUAGGAAGGCCAAACAGGGUCGGCCGUCACCACAGAUAAAAACAUUGUCGAGCCUUACUUUUUGCAAGUUGCCUUAUUUCAGUCAUUACAUUCCUAUUGCACAAAUGCUGCUAGAUCGCACAGGGCAUUUGUACUAGCAGGCAAUCAAUCACAUAAGGUAACCAGAGGCAAUCAUUCCAAACGCAAUCAUUUCACAUAAGGUAACCAGACAUGAUUAAUCCUAACGCAAUCAAUUCAUUCAAUCACCUUCCUUCUUUCAAACAAACGGUGAUCAAUCUCUCCUUCCUUCUUUCAUUGAUACUGUGGUCAAUAUUUUUCCUUCUUUGACUAUCACCAUGGUUUAGCUGGCGCCAAUUGAUAUUGAGAAAGUCGUAUCAGCCAAAUUAUGUCUUUUUAGCUGGCGCCAAUACAAAAUGAGGAGCGCUUCUCUUCCCGCCAUAUCUCUAAUGCCAUGCUAUAAAAGUCAUGCAGCGUUCUGACCAUGAGUCGUGUAGAACAGAAAUCGGGUCUUGGCAAAGAUGGGCUGUCCUGGCUCUAAGAGGAUCAUGGCACCACCACCUGUGAACUUCGUCCCCGCUCCCGUUGGCUCUCCCCCUCCGAUCAACAGGCAACAUUAGUUCCAUUCCUGCUUUUAGCUGUUUGCAUAAGUAUAAUCUGCAUUAUUGUUCUCUUUCUCAAUGUUGACCAAUUGCAGGCAUGUAAGGUUCAACGAAAUAGAGAACCUACACAUAUACAGUAGAGAUUGGGACGCAACGGCAAAGGUUUUGUGUGCUCGCAUCAAACAUACUCAGAGUGGAACUGCCGUCUUUCACGCCAUCCUCAUCGACCAGACUGUAAGAAUUCAAAAUGUAUACAGUAAAUUUCAUUGGGGGGUCAAAAUGGAAGCAACAUGCUGCUAAUGUAUGCAAUAAAUUUCACAAGGGUCAAAAUGGAUGCAAUUGCAUUCGAUCCGUUUCAACCUAUCGCAUAUCGCUUCAUGGACAACCUACGUGCCGGCUCAGUAUACUUUUUCAGUAAAGUUGGUUUCGAACCAGCAGGUGUGCAUCUACCAGUUGCUUUGUGGCUGCCAUGUGACUUUUACAUCACCCUCCACUCGCGCACUGAAAUACGUCUUGCAAGGGCCAGCAUUAACAUCACUACGUUGCCGCCACUAUUCAUAGAUUUUAUAAAUGUCUUCAGCCUCAGAGACAGGAUGCUUGCAGGUGCUUUGUAUCAUUUCACGAUUAAUUAUGCUGACAUGUGGUUGAGCCAGGCUUUGUUAAUAAAUUCUGAACAUUUUUUGCCCAGAUGUCAUUGGUAUAGUGAUGCAUGUCAGCCGCAUAAUGUUACACAGGUCAUCCGACCGUACCACGCCAUACCGACAUGUGGUGCUAACGGACAGUCGGUAAGUACUUCAUCCAAGUGGUUCAUGUAUAAUACAUUUUACUGUGUCACAGGGCUAACAUUUCAUUGCUCAAACAGGAGGGAGUUUAUCUACCUACGCGUCUGGGACCAGCAUGUGUCACGCCACUUGAGACGGUGGGGACUAGCGAAGCAGGGGCUCUGGACUUUAGGUGCCACACUGCUUGAGGUCAACAGAGCAAAACGUGAGUCCUUGCGUUAACAAAGAAAGUUUAACAUUGAUUUAUAUUGUUUGAUUAAACCUAUUUUGUAGGGUUUCUGAAAACGACAUACAUGAGCUAGCUUGUCUUUGAACCAGACAACCAGCAAUCCUACGAGCUGGAGGCCUGCCGUGCCGCACUAGGAGAUGCGGUUGGGUCCUUGCAGAACCGGGCCAGCUUGAUCGUCCAACGACUGAGCCAUGUUCACGUUCAACGAAUGAGGAGGGUUCAAGUGUGAUGCAAACUACACUGAAAUGCUCUAUAAUGAUCUGCCACAUAGUGAUUCGUCGCCUCUAAAACAGCUUCAUAUAUAAUCCAGCUUUUAUACGUGUUGUCGUCGUUGUAAAUCCAGCUGGUAUUGAAAUAAAACAAAUAAAUAAAGACGAGAAUCUGUCCGGGAUCAACUGCUAUAUCUAUGUUCUUUCCGGGUCAUUGCCUUCCCUAUUAAUUCCUUCCUAUCCCCUGCGUAGAAUCUGCGCAUUAACUUUAAUUAAUUAAUACGGGAUCACCUUCCUAUCCCGUGCAUUGCAUAUAAGCCUAAAUUCCACGCACAGUGUUAUAAGCAUACAAACCUCAUGCACACUCCGUGCCAUUGGUUUCAAAAAAUUGUUCCCCUGCCUUGCAAGCUGAUUUCCUGGGUGCCACGCCGCUAAGAUAAACGCACACAGACUCCAGUCUAAUUUGCUUCGGUAAGUCCUAUGAUUUAUUCAUGUUUAUAGUUUGUAAUUAGCCCCAUGUUUGUGAGCAUCGACUCUGAGCAAAAUGCGUCCUGUUUGCUAUUUGGGCUUCGAGCAGAAUACAAUAGUAUGAUUCAAACUAAUACGUGAGGUUGCAGAAGGACACAAUACCCACAUAAAAUCAGCAGCUGGAUGGACCGGGAGAGGGGGGCCUCCAUCCCCUUGCGAUGUGUGGGCUGUAGCUCCUCUCCAUGCCGCGGGAGCAAGCUCCAGCACACAGAGGCAGCUCAGCCUCCGUCUUACGCGCAGACGCCGUCUCCCGACCCGCCGUCACCGUAUCACGCUCACCCACCAUUUCCCGACCACCGCGCCUGCCAUCACGGCCGACGGCACACGUAGCCCCCAUCACCGUGGCCAGAACGUCUGCCUUCAAGGACGGCGGCCCGCACAUCCUCAACGAGCAGAGCAAGGUAGAGCGCUGCCGGACGCGACAUCGCCGACGAGCGUCCCAAAUUGCC